This 490-nucleotide ribosomal RNA is filed under the name uncultured bacterium. Its description in RNAcentral is "partial 16S ribosomal RNA". It matches the Rfam family "Bacterial small subunit ribosomal RNA", at positions 28 to 507 of the family's 1533-position model. The record is from RNAcentral.
GAUGAACGCUCGCUACAGGCUUAACACAUGCAAGUCGCGGGGCAGCAUGGGGGUUGCUUGCAAUCCCCGAUGGCGACCGGCGCACGGGUGAGUAACGCGUAUCCAACCUGCCCUUCACCACGGGAUAACCCGGCGAAAGUCGGACUAAUACCGUAUGUUGUCCAUUGACGGCAUCCGAUUUGGACGAAAGGUUUGGCGGUGAAGGAUGGGGAUGCGUUCGAUUAGCUGGACGGCGGGGUGACGGCCCACUGUGGCGACGAUCGGUAGGGGUUCUGAGAGGAAGGUCCCCCACACUGGAACUGAGACACGGUCCAGACUCCUACGGGAGGCAGCAGUGAGGAAUAUUGGUCAAUGGGCGUAAGCCUGAACCAGCCAAGUAGCGUGCAGGAUGACGGCCCUAUGGGUUGUAAACUGCUUUUAUGCGGGGAUAAAGUGGCCCACGUGUGGGUUUUUGCAGGUACCGCAUGAAUAAGGACCGGCUAAUUCCGUG